GCGGGAGUGGUGAAACCGGUAGACACGCAGGAUUUAGGUUCCUGUGCCUCUGGGCGUGUGGGUUCGAGUCCCACCUUCCGCA
RNAcentral lists this transfer RNA (82 nucleotides) under Microbacterium sediminis. RNAcentral describes it as "Microbacterium sp. ylb-01 tRNA". It matches the Rfam family "tRNA". From Rfam's summary of the family: Transfer RNA (tRNA) molecules are approximately 80 nucleotides in length. Their secondary structure includes four short double-helical elements and three loops (D, anti-codon, and T loops). Further hydrogen bonds mediate the characteristic L-shaped molecular structure. tRNAs have two regions of fundamental functional importance: the anti-codon, which is responsible for specific mRNA codon recognition, and the 3' end, to which the tRNAs corresponding amino acid is attached (by aminoacyl-tRNA synthetases). tRNAs cope with the degeneracy of the genetic code in two manners: having more than one tRNA (with a specific anti-codon) for a particular amino acid; and 'wobble' base-pairing, i.e. permitting non-standard base-pairing at the 3rd anti-codon position. The record is from Rfam by way of RNAcentral. Lineage: Bacteria; Bacillati; Actinomycetota; Actinomycetes; Micrococcales; Microbacteriaceae.